Molecule: ribosomal RNA, 253 nt
Filed under: uncultured bacterium
Lineage: Bacteria
Description: partial 16S ribosomal RNA
Rfam family: Bacterial small subunit ribosomal RNA
Source: RNAcentral
UACGUAGGGGGCAAGCGUUGUCCGGAUUUAUUGGGCGUAAAGAGCGUGUAGGCGGCUAGGUAGGUCCGUUGUGAAAACUCGAGGCUCAACCUCGAGACGUCGAUGGAAACCAUCUAGCUAGAGUCCGGAAGAGGAGAGUGGAAUUCCUGGUGUAGCAGUGAAAUGCGCAGAUAUCAGGAAGAACACCCGUGGCGAAGGCGGCUCUCUGGUACGUGACUGACGCUGAGACGCGAAAGCGUGGGGAGCGAACAGG